GUUUUUCUCCCAUGUACAAAUGUAAUUCCUCUAUCCAUCUUUUCCAGUGACAUCAUGGACCCCACUCCUGAGCCCAAGACCAGAGCGGAGGUUUGAAAGUGUAAGUAAAACACAUUAUAAUCCCGGAACUACCUGAUAAAUCUGUCACGGGGGAUUCUUGCCAGUGGACCUUGGAACCCAACACAGUCAAUGAGCACCUGUAUCUGUCUGAGGGGAACCGGAUGGUUACUGGAAUUGUGUAGACUUUCUUAGUGUCCAACAAGCUUUCUCUGCCCUUAGCCUUGUUCUGAACACCUCCAAAACAAAAGUCAUGUGGUUUGGUAAGAAGAAUGCCCCUCUCCCCACAGAGGUGAUUACUACCGCUGAGGAUUUAGAGCUUGAGGUAGUCACCUCAUACAAGCACUUGGGAGUAUGACUAGACGGUACACUGUCCUUCUCUCAGCACAUAUCAAAGCUGCAGGCUAAAGUUAGAGGAAACCAAGUCUAGAUUUAUCGUAAUCGUUCCUCUUUCACUCCAGCUGCCAAACUAAACCCUGAUUCAGAUGACCAUCCUACCCAUGCUAGAUUACGGAGAUGUAAUUUAUAGAUCGACAGGUAAGGGUGCUCUCAAGCGGCUAGAUGUUGUUUGCCAUUCGGAUUUGCCACCAAUGCUCCUUAUAGGACACAUCACUGCACUUUGUACUCCUCUAUAAACUGGUCAUGUCUGUAUACCCGUCGUAAGAACCACUGGUUGAUGCUUAUUUAUAAAACCCUCUUAGGCCUCACUCACCCCUAUCUGAGAUAUCUACUGCAGCCCUCAUCCUCCACAUACAACAACUGUUCUGCCAGUCGCAUUCUGUUAAAGGUCCCUAAAGCAUACGCAUCCCUGGGUCACUCGUCUUUUCAGUUUGCUGCAGUUAGUGAAUGGAACGAGCUGCAACAAACACUCAAACUGGACAGUUUUAUCUUAAUCUCUUCAUUCGAAGACUCAGUCAUGGAUACUUUUACUGACAGUUGUGGCUGCUUUGCAUGAUGUGUUGUUGUCUCUACAUUCUUGC
Oncorhynchus tshawytscha (Chinook salmon) is the source of this 1037-nucleotide long non-coding RNA. The record is from Ensembl. NCBI's taxonomy places the organism in Eukaryota, Metazoa, Chordata, Actinopteri, Salmoniformes, Salmonidae.